AAAAUAAAUGCAUUAAUUUUACAACUACAUAUUCUCUAUCAACUUAAGAUUUUAUAUUAAAUUGCGACCCUAUCUGUACGCCGAGAGGCUAGGUGUAAAUUUUAUCCCCUAAACUUUUUAGAGCUAGAAAUAUUGGUCUACUAGUCGUGCCUUAUUUUCUUAACUAAAAAUUCGAAGAGAUUAUCAACCGUCCCUAGAGCAAGUGGCAAAGAGUUUGGUGGUUGGUAUCCGAGACCCGAGUUCGAAUCCUAGUUGAUUCACAUUUUCAGCUAAGUUUAUUUCUAAAUGAAAUAAACAAAGCGGGUAGCGUGCUACCUAUCUCNGUAUCCGAGACCCGAGUUCGAAUCCUAGUUGAUUCACAUUUUCAGCUAAGUUUAUUUCUAAAUGAAAUAAACAAAGCGGGUAGCGUGCUACCUAUAAAAAACUAAAAAAAAAAAAAUCGAAGAGAUUUCCUUAACUCUAGGAUGAAAAGGUAUAAAAUGUACACUCCUAUAUGAGAUAUACAUAUAGUUUUUUUUUUUAUACUAAAAUUAUAAUAACUUUUUAAUGUGGCGAAAUAAAUAUAUUAUUUUUACAACUACAUGUUCUUUAUCAAUUUAAGAUUUUAUAUUAAAGAGCAACGCUAUCUGUACACCGGGGGACAAAGUGUAAAUCUUAUACCUAAGUUUUCUAGGACUAGGAAUAUUAGUCUUCCAGUCGCAUCAUAUUUUCUUUAACCAAAAAUUCAGAGAGAUUUUCUUAACUCUAGGAUGGAAGGGUGUAAAAUGUACACUCCUAUAUAAGAUGUACAAAUAAUAUUUUUUAUUAAAGUAUCGGAGUAGGAGUAGGAGGUUUAUAUGAGUUUGUGUUCUAUCUGACUGCAAGUUAAGGUUAUUUCCUUUCAUUUAGUUUACAUUCACAUCUUGGACCUAUAAAAAGUCUCAAGCUGACUUUUGAUAGAUUGACUAUACUUUUAAGCUUCGUUUGGUUUGUGAUUAAGUAAGAACUAGUUAUUUCAGGAAUAGGAUUAAGUUCAGAAUUACGGUGGGGUUAGAAUAAAUAAUUGUGUUUAGUCCAGAUAUAAGUAAAAUAGUAUUUGGCUGGAGUAAGUGGAAUAAGAAGGAUAGUGAGUUGUUAUAAAUAGAAAAUAACUUUAUAUUUGAAUUUAAAUAUUUAAAUUUCAUAAUUAAAAUUUUAAAUUUAAAUUAAUAACUUUAAAAAUUAAAAAAUUAAAUAAAAAUUAAUUUUCAAACUCAAUUCAAAAUUUAAGUUUAAAUUUUAAUUUAUGAUUAAUUUAAAUUUAAAAAUAUCAAAUAUUAAUUUAAAAUUUAAAAAAUUAAAAAUAAUAAUUUAUAAUUUAUAAUUUAUAAUUAUCUGUCUCAAUUUUAAGCUUACAAAUUUUUAAAUUUAUAAAAUUUGAAAAACAAAUUUAAAUUUAAUAUUUAAAUUUAAAAAUUGAAUUGGGGUGGGAUUAGCUUUAAUCCCACCCCAAUUCCAUGGGAAGGGUGGGGUUAACAAACCCCACCUUUAUUGGGUUAUCCCAGAAUUAUCCGAUAAGGGUGGGGUUUGUUAACCCCACCCCUAAACUCCACUGUUUGGGAUUAAGUUCGGGGUUAACUAUCCCCCUAAUCCCGAACCAAACAAGGUGUUAAGUGUAAGCCAGAUGAUUAUAAGCUCUCUUCCGCGAUGGUAAUAUAAAUGUUUAAAACAUCACUUUUAAUAGCAUAAAUUUCGAUUAAAAUUGGCCGAUUUACAUCAUAUUAAUCAUAGCGGCUUCAAUUAUAUUUAGAAUUAAGAUCUUCUUUUAUUUUAUACACUGCAUAUUAAAAAUUUAUAUAAAGUUGACUACACAUGAACCAUUAAUGUUGGUUUUUUUAAAAAAUAAUUAUUUUAGCCCAGGUGACCUAAUAGUAGUACAGCAUAAAGCCACACUAUAAUUUGUGCCAUGUCUCAGCAUAAAAGGUUUAUUUGGUUCAUUUUAUUUUAGAUUAUUUUCUACCCUGGGAUAACAGAGAAUAAAUCAAUGUUAUAAUUAUUAUAACAAUAAUUGCAGGAAUAAAUAUGAAGAUGAGAAAUCAUCAGGCUCUAGCCUAGUUGGCAAGAGCUCUGGAAGGUAUUCAGAAGAUUUGGAAAGUGCCCCAAAAACUUUAAAAUAUUAAAUAUAAUCUCAAUUUUUUAUAAAAAAAAGUCAAAUUACCUAAUCAUUAUCAUUUUUUUUAUGAAGUUUCUACCAAUGGGAUAGAUAGUUUUCAUGCCAAAUAACUAAUUGGGAUAUAUCUAUGCCAAAUAAUUAAAUAACUAUGUUGAAUUAUAUAAAAUAACCGUUGUUCUCCAUUAAUUUAUGUCAAGAUGGGAUGAUAAUAGAAGAUGGGAUGAUAAUAGAAGUCCGAGUUAUGUUAACAAACUUGCGGCAUGCAUAAGAAUACACCUUAUACGUACGAAGCGUCAAUAAAAUAUGUUCAAUAAAAUUAACUAAAAUCUAACAAUAGUAGGUAUCAGAAUAAAAUAAAAAUUAUAUACCAUAGCAACACUGUAAAUAUACAAUCAUCAGCACACCAGUCCUCAAAAUGGUAUAACAUCUCUGAGUCACUCCAAAUCUCAAAACACUGUAUAAGCUAUUAUAUACACGAAUAGGUGGUCCAACUACAGGCACAAAAAGAAUAGAGAAUGCUAAACUUUCCACGAUCCUCUUAUCUCGAUCACUCACUGGUACUGAAGGUUCCGUCAUAAAAUAUUAAUUAAGAGAGUAUGAGAACUAUAAUUAAUAGUCUCCGGUGGGUACGGUCGACAACGCCGACGGUCUACACCACUAGACCCAUAAGAGACAAAAAUAAUAGUAUGAAUGAACAAAUAUUAAUAUGAAUACAGCUGAAAAUAAAUGUUGCUCUCAUGCAUGUACAAUAUAACUGAAAACUGAAAAUCACGUAUCUCAUGCAUCAAUAGUUACUGAAUAAAAUAAUCCAAUAAUACCCAAUCAUAGUGAGUAACUCAACAAUCAAGUCUAACUUGCACCGUCUCGUGUCCAGCAUUCACAUAUAGUGAUCCCCUACUACGUAGACUACUGUCUGGCCAUGUCAUAAUAAUAUCUCGUAGCCUAAUCUUUGAAGUGACACUCACGGGGCACUACUCUAAUCGAAUAUAGUAUCAUUAUCAAUCAAAAUAGCACGCAUGCUAUAGUCAAAAUACGAUGAUAAAAAAGAUCACGACAAUACUAUCAUAGUGUCCCAAAUAUAGUUAUAAUUUCACACUAUCAGUCACUCUUAAAAAUAUGCAAGUCUCAAUAUACUACAGGUAGGUGUCAAAAUACUGUUACUAUCUCAUCAUUGUCGAAUCGUUGGCGCUAACCAUUAAUCCCAAAAGCUCGAGUUGUUAAAAAUACGCAACCAAUUCACUUAAAACGUAUAGAUAUAUGUAUAGAUACAGCGCCCACGAGUCUCGAUUAUAACUCGGCCCAACCAGCCUCACGCCACAGCGUAGGAUGUUGGUCAUUUAAACCAACAAUCUCCCCUCCAGCAUCUGCACACAUUUGCAGCAUGCGGGAAUCAAACCUGUGACUUCUGGCUCUGAUAAAACUUGUUGGAUCGUUAGCGCUAACCAUUAAUCUCAAAAGCUCGAGCUGUUAGAAAUACGCAACCAAUUUACUUAAAGCGUAUAGAUACAGCGCCCACGGAUCUCGAUAGUAAUUCGGCCCAACCAGCCUCAUGCCACUUCGAACAUAACUUGGCCCACAUGACUUCCCGUCGCAGGGUAGGAUGCUGACAUAUUUAAACCAACAAUCAUCACAUAAGCUAAAUAGAUAUAAAAGUUAGCCCGCCAAUUUUGAUAAUACGGAAUCCACCUAUAUCGCAAAUCCGAAAAACAGAAUGGUUAUCAAGAUAGUGUGGUGAUCCGACACUACUCUCCUAGUCUAAACAGCAGCUACAAUACCUAAAGUAGCUCAAAACAUCCCUCGUCAAAAUCGCACGAAAUCGAUUACUAAAACGUACAGAAAUCAGUCUCUAACUCUAAUUUCUACACAAUUUAUCAAAAGAGUUUAAACGAAAAGAUAAUAAUAUUAUAAUAUUAAUCCAACUUCGAAACAUCAAAAAAGCACCCGCUCGCACACGUUGGACUCGCUACUUGAAAACAAUCUCGCCUCUCUCUCUUUCUCUCUCUCUCUCUCUCUCUCUCUCUUAACCGCCUUUCUACUGUCUCACUCUCUCUCUCUCAAGGUGACAAAGAAGGGAUCAGGAUGGAGGCCUAUGUGGAUUCCAUGCUGUAAAGAUAGCAAAAAUAUAAAAAAGCCCCUCACAAAUUAUACAUUUCAAUUUUAUUCCUCACGAGUUAAUUUUUGAGUUUUUUAGUCUGUUUUUGCGUCUAUUUCGUGCCAAAACGUCUUCAACCUAGUCAAGCACUAUAAAAAAAUAUACUGAUUAAAAAAUUUAUACUAUAACCUUACCUAUUUGUUAAAGUUCAAUAUAUCACAACUUAAACUGAGUAGAGAAUGGUAUUUUAUAUUUAUAAUUUUCUAAUAUGGACAAAUUAAAUUAAAAAAAUUAAUUAUAGUAUGAGUACAACGUGACUCAAAUUCAAAACCUCACAUUCUGAUAUCAUGUUAAAUUAAAUAAAAUAAUUAUUAUUCUCCAAAACUUUGAACUAAUAAAAAAUAAUAUUUUAUAUUUUUUUUAUUUAACAAAUUACAUCCCUUCAAUUUAUGGGCUAUAUGUGUAAAGUGUUAUACAAAUGGAUCCUAGUUAUUUCCCUGCUCCCUCCUUUUUGACAAAACCAUACCAUCGUCCAAACCCUAGCCCAACAACUAAACUAGGUCAAUAUCUUGGACAUCACGGCUCUAUUACAAGCAUCUACUCACUACUUAACACUCUACUAUGGCUAUAAAUACAGGUUACACUCCUCCCAUCCCCAUUUGUUCACCUAAUGCUUGCUCUAACUCUACUAAAACAUCUUUGAAAUUAAUGUGGAUUAUUAUUAUAUUAUGAGGCAAAGCCAUUUGAAAGUUGUGAGCAUAGUUCUCAUUUUCCUUCUUCUCGGCUUCAGCUGCCCGGCGGGAGCGCGGCGGUUUGUCGGCGGAGCCACGACGCUUGCAAAUCAUUUAGUGUUUGAAUCCUUGCCUAGAGGGUCCGUCCCGUCUCCUCAGGCUUCAGAUUGCACCAACGGGCCGAACACGAAUGGCAGUCAGUGUCCCAUUGGUUGAGUAAAUCAAUUGGUACUUCGAAAGUUCGCUUAGUUUUUGAUGAUGUUAGAUUGAAAAAAAAUCAUGUCAUUUUGAUUUUUUUUUUACCUUCCUAUUGAGGUAAAGGAUAUAUAUAUAUAUAUAUAUAUAUAUAUAUAUAUAUAUAUAUAUAUAUAUAUAUAUAUAUAUAUAUAUAUAUAGUUAGAUAUUCUCAGUACGUAUUUGAUUGCAUGCUUGAUGCAUGUUUUUUGUGGGGUGUAAAAAUAACUGAUUGAGCGAUACGUUUUUUACUAGCAAUAAAUACUACGUGGCCCCUAUUACAUAGGAGAGCUUAUAAAGAACAUAUCAUCUUCAAAUCAUGCGACGAAUAUAUCAAAGAUACUUCUUCCCUACUAUCGUUCCACAUAAAUUUGAUGUACAUGUUAUGUUCGCAAGUCUUAAUCAUCUACAGUUUGUUAGAGUAAGAAAAUGACAUCUUGCCAUGAGAAAGAUAUGUCCUCUUUCUUACAGGAAUAUGUUAAAUACAAUAAAUGACAUAUCUGUUUCCAUGUGAUUUUCUGUAAAGCUAACUUUGGGUAGCGAGAUGUAACCCGUCAUUAUAAUUAAAUGCCUGCAAUUUACAGUAACUUCGUAACUAUUUUUACAUAUCAUAAUAUAAUACAAAUCACUAUACACUUCUAUACCCAAGGGAAUAAGAGAUAUUGUAAAGUGACAAUUAAUCUAACAUUUUAUAUCAUCUCUAUUUCGUACACGGGAGAACUCAUGGAAAAGAGAGUUAGUUAGAAAAUGACAGUUGCCAAACCAUCUAUCUCAAUGGAAUUGUACAUAUGAAAUGUGACAAAUAUUCUUUUUUGAAAUUAUUUCUAAAAAUAGGUUGGGCUUAAAAUUGGGUGAGUUGGACUAGCCAAAAGCUAAGCUCUGGUUUGGCCUUGCCCUAGCCAGUUUGAUGAGACCAUUUGGCUUGAGCCUAAAGCCCAUAUGGAUGCUUAGUGGUACAAAUGUUGGGAACCCCCUCAACUAUAGGCUAUUUUGAAAUAGACCCCUAAACUGUUUAUCUUGUUUCUUCAACUUUUAUUUGCUUUUAUUUGAGUUUUUUUUUUUCUAAAUUGAAUUGGAAGUCAUUGAAAUUAAUUGCUGCAUUACUUAUCCAUUAUGAAAAAGUUGAUGAAAUCUGCAAUUUCAGUAGCUGGAAACCAUCUAUUCGUGUAUAUAAUAGCUUAUACAGUGUUUUGAGAUUUGGAGUGACUCAAAGAUGUUAUACCAUUUUGAGGACUGGUGUGCUGAUGAUUGUAUAUUUACAGUGUUGCUAUAGUAUAUAAUUUUUAUUUUAUUCUGAUACCUACUAUUGUUAUAUUUUAGUUAAUUUUUAUUGAACAUAUUUUAUUGACGCUUCGUACGUAUAAGGUGUAUUCUUAUGCAUGCCGCGAGUCUGUUAACAUAACCCGGACUUCUAUUAUCAUCGUGGAGGUCCCGUAGAUAGUUUGUUACCUUGUUUUUCUCAGCAUUCCAAAAAUACCUACAGGAAGCUAAAAACCUCCUAAUUAUUACAACUACUAAGAACUGCUACUUAUGCGCCUAAAAGUUGUAGGGGUAUGUAUCUUACAUGCAUCCAUCAAAGAAUUUAGAAACCACUUUUGGAUUUUUGAUAUUAAAAAAAAAAAGAGGAUUGAUAAGAUUAGUUUGAAAAUAUUGGCCCUUAUAUAGAUAGGGUAUAAGGUUUAUAUUCACUUUUUACGUGUACAAGUACCAUUGCUUUGGUUCAAAACUAUGUUUAAUCAUUUUUCUUGAGUAAGGCACCGGGAACUAGUCAAAUUUGCAUGGGUUUUUUGGGUCAAGUUGGAAAUAAUUACCACUACUCGCACUUUUAUUGCUUAAUUCCCUUCUACAAGUUUUUUGUCCAUAAAUGUAUAAAGAAUUUUAAUCUAAUAAUUCAAAUACCAACUACCAAUCUCUUUCCAAAAUUACAUUAUUAGUGGAUGACAAAAUUAUGGAGGGUGGAAAAUGAUAACAAUACAAAUACUCGAGGGUUUUCUAUAGAUUUUUUAGCAAUACUAUUAGUACACCCGAAAAGAGAUGUACAUCUUACAACCCAGUCAUCCUUGGUGGGAAUUUUCCCACCAAUCACAUGAUGUGGCUUGUGAAUUACACCACACCCAAGGAUGGGUGGGCUCGUAAGAUGUACACCUCUUUCGGUGUAUACCAUUAGCAUUUAAGGCCCAAUAUAUGUUUGUAGGGGUUGUCUGCAAUUUAGCCCAUCUCUUUUUGAGUUCAUCAAAAUUGGCAUUCUGAACAGGCGUUGCAGAACAUACAGCAGAACUAGGGCAAAAUUGGUACUAGACAGUUCCAGGCUUGAAGCGAGCAGUACUAAGGCAAGAACAGCUCAAGCCUAAUCCUGGCAUCAACUGAUGCUAUUUGAUUCCUACUUAUGCAUCUACAACACAUUUUAGAACUCGGCUCCACGGAUAUCUAAUUCCAGAGUCCCUGGUUUAUCAGUUCCAACAUAUUUUCAAAACAAUUCGAGGUUAAUGCAUCAUAAUGUAAUCUUAGCUUCCAAACAGUCUAAAAGAAUGUAAUCUUACGUUUGAUCAACAGAACGUAGUGAUAAUAUACCAACCACACAGGUAAAUUCCCUGUCCAUUAAUUCCUAAACCUUCGUGUUUGUCACAUGUACCAGCAAAAUUUUGUAAAGCUUCGCAUCCACCGCAGAGAUCAUCAAAAUUUGGUUACUAAUACAUGGGUUACAAGUUUUGCAACCUUCGUAUCCACAGCGUGGCAUGAUGGUACCUCUAUGAUCCGUACGCAAUUUGUGCGAUAAAUUGGAAUUCCGAUCGGGACAAGCGCGACUAGUGAUACAACAAAACAAGAUAAAUUGGAAUUCCGAUCGGGACAAGUGCGACUAGUGAUACAACAAAACAAGAUGAGCAUAAAGUUAUAUCGGUGACAAUCUCUCCAAUGAGCUUUUAAUGCUAAAUUCCACCCCAUUCGCCGCCCGUCUGUAGAAACGAAAGUUUAGAAUGAGCCCUCUUCUCCAAUAAAUAGAAGUACAACUUACGAGAGAACACUCAACAAAGCCCGCUGCACUAGAUUUUAAGUACGGAAUUGCGGAAUCAUUCUUUACAAGAUGUUUUCUCUUUUUUUUUUUUAAUCUUUUCUCCUCCAUCGAAGGUAAGGAUCACAUUUUCAUAUCAAAACUCAACAACAACAAUAAAGAUCAAUUACAGACAUUAUUAAGAUCUCGAUGAUGAUUGCACUGUUCCUUUCAUAGACCUCCUCAAGGCCCACCUGCGGGACGAUAUAUAGAGUACCCCUCCACCCCGGUUGUCAAAUUCGAAUACUCCCCUAGUUGUUGGUAUGGGUAACCGUUUGCAUCACCCGCGCCUAAAUUAAGCAUCGACAGGUCGGCACCAGGGCCGUACAGCCACUGGUUUUGCAUAACCCCGUCAAUCUGACCAUCUGGGUACAUUGAAAGAUCUAACGGUGAGAAAUGCCCCUCUCUCAACCCGUGAACAAGACCGCCAGUGCAAGAAUCAAAGGCCCGCGAAAUGCUCUCAUAGCAUUGCUCAGCUUGGUCAAACUGACCAGAGGAGCUUGCAGGCAGAGAGUACUGCCGACUGAAGCUCUGUUGGUGAUUAUAAUCGUGGUGAAGCCUACCAUUACUCUGCUCCUCAUCAAGCAAGUCAUUGAUGAUAUCAAGGUGGGGGAAUUCGUCAGUGUAAUUAGGAAAAUUCUGCGGGGGAAGUCGCUUAUGUUGCGACUCCCCAUAAAUGCUGAGACCCUCCAUGUCACUCAGUAUGUUCAAGCCAAACUUCUCAUUAUCUAUCCAACAGUUCUGGUUGUUUAGCGCGUCCGGCCUAACCGACCCGAAAGUAAACCCCGGUCUUAGUGAGGACUGAUCCGAUCUUGAAGAAAUCUGAGACUGAAGGACAGAUGUUGAUGCAGAGGAAACAGAGGUCGAUGAGUGAGAAUACGCAACACCUUGGCUCAUAGCAGGGCUCGUGGUACCCGUGGUGGCCAUGUUACCCAUAAUAGCAUUACGGUACGACUGAGGAAAAUAGCUGGGGGCAGAGGGGGAUGGAUCAUUAUUGCCCAAUCGGCCAGCGGCACUCCUCGAGCGUGAAAGUUGCGGCGCUGCUUGGACCAUGGAAACGGUUGGUAUGUACGGUCUAGGCGCCGGGAUCAAAGGUGCACUUAAAGGCCUUGACUUUGUAGCGGUCGCUGAGGAGAUUGUUGUAGUAUUCUUUGAGGAAGUUGUUGGUUUCUGAGUUUCAGUUUUAGGGAUGGAAGAGGUUAGCGGCAAUCUCAAUGACGGUGGAGCUAGUUUAUCAGGUUGGACUGUGUGAGUUGAUUGAAGCUCUUUUGUAGAAGAUGGUUCAGGUGGAGUGGCGGUGGUAACAGUGGUUGCUGGAGAAAUAGCUGCGGUGGCGGUGGCGCCGCUGGCAGUGGCGCCGGCAGUGGGGCCGCUGGCGGUGGCGGCGGUAGUGGUGGUUGAGGAAGCUGUAGUGCUUUCUGAUGACUGCUUUGGCUGCUGCCAAGAGAUUAAUGGCUUCUUCAGAGGACUGGCUGAAGAAGAGGAUGAUCCUCCUGUCGUCUUCUUUGAGUGGCUCGCAAUGUCAUAUUGAUCUUUGCUGUUUAGCUUUUUUGUCAGAUAUAUGGCUUCCUCCUCCUGAAAGGAAAUCACAUUUGAGGGUGAUGAUGAUGAUUCAGUUACUGUGGAGUCAAAGCAACAAAACUUUACUUGCACCUAAAGUUGCUAUCAGUCCCCUUAACCCGAAUAUUAGCACAACUAGAAGCACGUACAUUUCCCUUCCCAAAAGACUAAUCUGUGAAUGUGUUUUCUUUAGAUGCAACUAUAAUGUAAACAUUAUGCUAAUAGAGAGAGUUUUUAGACAGGUUUUCUGAAUCUACGUGAGAAGUGAGUUUUCAAUAGGCGACUUGAGAUUAAAGUGUUAAGAAACAAUUGACAAAAAGUUGUAUUCUUAUGUAUAUGAACAUCACAAAGUUUUCAGUAGUUUUACAAACAAAAUGCAUAGUAAACAGGCUUCCAAGCCCUACGAACUUCUGUCUGAAGAUUUUUCAAAAGCUGUGAAGAUAUCAUAGUGUUUAGUUCUAGAAGAAUAUUAUCAAAAGAACAUUAAAUAACAGGACAGCAGAAAUAACGUAGCAAUGGAAAAUCUUUCGUUAUUAUUGAGCUUUCAGGCUAUUCAAUUCCAGCUAGGCAUGAACUCUAGGUUAAGUAACGUGAUUACAUUCUAUAACUUUCCUCCACCCUCACCCAAUAUCAUGCAUUUCCAUAAAAUUCCUGCAUAUGAUAGAAAUAGCACGCCAGAUAUAUUAAGAAAAAAGUUUGAGAAAAAAAAAAAUACUUCAAAAAAAUAAAGGCUUUCAAAAUUUUCAACAAGCUUUAGAAAAUAUAUAAAUUGAAUCAUCAACUAGGGCCAGAAACUUGAUGAAGCAUCAAAAUAACUUGUGUUUAGAGGUUAAAUAACAACGAGUAACAAAAGGAACCGAUUGAAGAGAAAGAAUACCAAAAGAAUCAAGUCUACCUUCUCAACCAGAUUGUGCUCAACCAACUGCAUCUGAUCUUUUAGUGAGAGAACAACCGCCUCAGAUUCAGGUCUGGGAGCCCUACAAUUGCCAGAAAAAACAUGGCCAGAAUCGAUAGCAGCAUCAGGUGGUGGAUUAUUUCCACCAUAAGAACGACCUGUUCGGUCAUUCAUCUCCUUGUUCCGCUGAUUCUUCCCUCUGUUGAUUGAUUUAUACCAGUCACAAAGGUGUUUGAAACAAAGGCAACAAAAUAAAACUAAGGGUAUUUUACAUAUCAUAUCCUUGCAAAAUCAUCUACUUAUGUACACUUCUGUAAAAUCAGAAUUUUUAUAUAUGUAACUUAAAAGCGCAGCUUUUACCAAUUGGAAUUAUCAAAACUCAUCGGCGGAAGUUGGUUUGUACCAAAAAAGUUGAGGGAGAAGGGUGCAUUGAAAUUUAGUUUUUAAAAAGCAUUACUGAAUAUUCAGAUUUUGCAGCAAAAUUGAACCUACCUGUUAGGUGAUGCCUGGACCUUGUUGUUGGACAAAGUGUUUCCUUUGUAAGGGCCGGACAUCACAACCGAUGGGACUGAAUCAGUAGAACAAGUCGACGAGCUGUCAUCGAUUGGAGGGCUUCUCUUUCCUGUUUUCCCAUUUGGUACGUCACCACUACUAGCCUCCAUGUUAGGGUAAGUUUCCGAUACAUCAGUGUCCCAGUUUACAGGACUGCUACCUCUACCUUCUAUAUCGAGCUGCGUCACCUCAGUACAAUUAUCUCCACCAUCAGACACAUCCGACGCAUCUUCUUGGUUAUUGACCUUCUGAAUAUCUGGUUCGGACUGCUUAGCUGGGACAUCAUCAAUACUUCUAUCAUCUGAUGGCUCUUCAUCCUCCUGGAAUUUUUCCUGAAUAAUAGUGUCAGCCUUCAAGUCUCUUCCUUUCUCUUUGCUUUUUCGACUAUUUCUCUUUUGUUUGCCCUGACCCUAUAGUAAAAGGAAAAAGUAUGAUUCCUAGAGAAUUAUUUCUGGAUUGCACGGUUAAGCAUAGGAACUAAGUAAUGCCAACUGUCUAUGGACCACCCAACAGAAAAGGACAAUACAAAAAUCUGCCAACAAGCCUAAUAGGUUUCUACUAACUGCUCCCUGUAGGCAGGGUUUAAGCAAAGCCAUUAAAGAAACAAUAGAGAAUCAAUUCUCAGAAAGGGCAAGAGAAGCAACCUGUAACAGAGUAGUAAAUGUCCAGGAAAUUUUUUUUAAAAAAAACGACAUGAGUAGGUACAAAUACAUUGGUGCCUUGAAGGUCAGACAGAAACUAACUAUUGUAGUUGACAGAUCUAAAUUCGCAAACAUUUUUCCAAAUGAACUCCUGUGAUGGCACCAUUUAGAACUUAAAUUAAGACUCUGAGAACUAUCUAACAAAUAUUCAAUAGCUCUACCAAUAACCAGAUCCUGAUAUCAGAAAUAAAUUAGUUUUAACUUCCAUCGAAGUUACAAGUCAUAUGGACUUUUAUACAAGUAACUGUAUGUCAAGAUACACAUAAGAUGUCAAUCACUUCUCUAGUACGUGCCAUAAUAUUAAAAGAAUCUGGGUUCGUGAGGAAAUUAACUGGAGACAAAGGUGCAAUGGACAACAGAAGAACCUAAAAGGGUACUCGAUAAAACAAGUAAAUUUUAUGGCGACACACCUGUUUUUUCUUUGCACGCUUCUCCCUGUCAGCAACAGCACGCUUUCCCUUGAGAUCAUCAGCUAGUCCAGCAGCUUCCUCUUCACGGAUGAGCUCCUCCUGCCUCUUUAGAGCAACAGCUUCUUGGUACGCAACCUCAAUUCUACUGCUGUCAAUAAAAAAAUAGAACAAAAUUAGCAAUACAAACCAAAGAACUCGUGUAACAUCAGUGUAUACAUGAUAUGCACGCGAAAAAGUGCCUAAGGUAUUAUUAAAAGAGGGUUUUUUAGUUUUAUUUAUUAAAUUGCUAAUUCCUGUGUUGAUUGUAAAACAUGCUAUGGUGUACAAAUUUCAAAACUCCAACAACCAGAGGAACAACCAAAUUUUUCUCAAUACAGAACAGAGAAAAGGAAAACCGUGAAAAAGGGCAAUCUUCAACUGUAAUACACCACAGACAAAAAGUCGUGGCUUCGAAAAGCAAAUAUUUGAAUAUAAUCUCUAUAAUUACAGUAGGUACUAUAUUUUUCAAGAUCAAUAACUGGAGAACACUAAUAUCAAUGUUUAAUAUCCCAAUUGAAUAAAGAUACUCAUAUGAUGAAUACAUUCAAUUCGAUAGGUAACGGUGGAAUCGAAAUAAAACCUGAAUAUAUGAGCUAGGACAAAAAUUUCCAGAGUCCUCCGACCCAGCUCCAUUAGGCGCCUUUCAUCACGCUCAGUGGAAUCUUUGUUGAUUUCUUCGCCAGAACUUCCAUCCUGCAUGUCAUCAUUAAAAUAAUAUUAACGUGAAAGAGCUCUGAAAAAUAUUUUUAAUGCAGGACAUCUGCUGAAUAACCUAUAAGUAGAUCAGCCAAUAAUACAUAAUAACUCACAUGCGACCAUAGAAAUGUACAAGUAUUCCAAUUCCUGUAACUUUCGUAAGGACCUGGAAGAAUUCACAUUUCUUUUCUGAAGACAUCGUACCAAAUACAAUUCAUGCAUGUAUCAUAAACAUCCUAAAGUAUGAACAUAGUUUUCCUUGAAGGCUCUAUUGAGUAUCAACACUUGAAAUUUUCCUGGUUAUCUCAGAUCACUCGAUGCGUGUGUCUAAAAUCCCUAUUACUUUACACCAGCACCACUAGCAACAUAUAAUCAGUCUUAGUUAUCUUUUUGUUGCUACUGUCAAUAUAUUCUCUUCCAUAGUGAGGGGAAUAGCAACUUAUCUAGGCUUGGCUACUUGUCUGUAGGCCAAUAAUUUCAGUUUAGAAAGGUGUCUUAACUCACAACUCAGAACCAUCAAAGCCAGAUAAGUCCGUAAGCUAGAAUCUAGCAAUUUUUAGCUCACUAGUGGAUCAAAGCACAAUAACCUGAAGAACUAACUAGCAAUCGACUAGAAAUAUUAUCAAAUGUAACCGCUGAUAUAAUAUAAUAAACAAUUAAAGUGCAUGUUUGACCCUGCUUCUACCUCUGCUUCCUGCUGCAGCUACCUGUAGCAGAGCAUUUGGCAGACAGAAAAGUCUGAAAAUUUCUUCUGCUGAGGAGAAGCCAAAAUGAGAAUUUGAGCGCUAAAAGCAGAAGCUCCAAUCUGGAGCUUUUGCUUCUGCAACUAAGGGAAGCUACUAGGAUGAAGUCAACAUAGCGCUUCUCCUGAUAAUACUACUUAAACAGUGCUUUACCAAACAACACCACAUCACAUAGCAGUGCCAAACUGGGAACAAACUGAAGAAAUAACCAGAAAAACUAAUAGCUACCUUGGUUCGGUUCUGCGAAGACUUGUCAUCUUUAGGAGGCAAAGGCUGAUGAGGCAAGGGCUCUGAUACUGCUCUCUCAAGCAGCAUUAUCACAUCAUCAGCCAACACAAACAUGUCUUUGUCGAUCCGUACCAUCGGAUGUGGUAGCUCUUCCAGUUCCACUAAUUUUGGUAACCCUUUUUUGUUCUUGCUCUGGAACUCAAGAGCCUUCAGCCCGCUGUACAGAGAGUCCAUAACUAAGGUAGAAGUUACUUCUUUUUCCAUAAAGAAAUGCUUGACAACCAACUUCAGUAUGGCUUCACUCUUGUCCCUUGACAUACGUCUCCUGGAACUCGCAUCAAUUCCUAGCCAAAAGACACGAAAACUGGAACACCAGAAUCAAAAGAAUAUUGUCAAAUGUCAGCUUAGUUCCAAAUUUAUCUGACACUGAAAACUAAUGAAUGUGAAUAUUGAUUUGGAGAGAGAGAGAGAGAGAGAGAGAGAGAGAGAGAGAGUAUGGGGAGGGGGAGUGUGGCGUGUGGGGCGGGGGUAGGUGGUAGGGUAGUUGGGAUAUGGAAUCAAACCUUGACCACCUCACUUUAUCCUCGAUCAACUUGGUAAGCUUGCUUCUUCUCUCCUCAAUAAAACGUCGGCAAAUUUGCUCUACGUUAGACAAAUAGAUACGGACCAGCUCCCUCCGGUACUGGCAGUCAAGGCAACGGAAUGGGCGGUUUGCUUUCUCCCUCAAAUAACAAAAUGCAGAAGCGAGUACAGUUAUGAAAAGGUACACAUUAAGUUCUCAUUGACAAGAAUAUGAAAUCUUUCCAAGAAAAACCAAGAAAAAAAUUCGAUGGAAGAAGAAACCAUGGAAGAUGCUAUCAAGUUCCAAUCAAGUGCAAUAAGCACGUAGUUUUUUGCUUAGUCAGGAAGUUUCUAAUGAAAAAAGAAAAGAAGCAAUAACAAUAUGGACAAUUGGCAGAAUGGAAAAUCUCAAUGAUAUCAACUAGAUAUGUUUCUUUGAAAGAUCAAAUAUUAGAGAACCAUGCGCCUUCGCCACCCUUGCAAAAGAAAAUCAUAGUUAUUAGAAAUGGUGGCCAAUUAUUCAGCCCAUCCAGCAUAUGGCAAUUACAACAAAGAAAAACAUCAAAAUCACAGAUUAACCAAAAACUAUUACAACUAUCCAUACAAAGUGAUAAGAAGGUAUACAAUCAUUAACAAAAGUUAGUAAAGGGUGAUUUAUAUCAUUCAAAGGAGAAAAAAAAAAUUGAAAUUGAAUGAACAGAAAAGAGGCCAUUCCUUGUGGAGAGUAUACAAGGAAAAAUAAACAUCACCCACGAAUGUCCUACUCCAACAUAGUGAAUGUAACAAAUGCUUGAUUCCUUACUAUUUAUCAGAUGCUUUGUGCUCAUAGUUCAACAUCAGAUUAGAGGUUAGAGAUCAGUAACAAAGUUCAAACAUCAAAUUCUUUAUGCACCAAGAAAGAAACCAAGGCUGAGCCAUGUUUGGCCCCUGUAUUGGAUACUAUGUCUGAGCCUGAAAUUUUGAUCCCAAUUAUGUCCUGGGUAGGUUCCGUUUUCCGUCCCUGCAGUGAUCUAUCGCGGAAAUCCAAAUAAAUAAAUCCUAGCCUCUUAGGUAAUACCAUAACUCUAAGGGACCGUUCGGUUCUUUGUUUGUGAUAUACUGGAAUUGUUGUAUAUUUUAUAAUUGGAAUAGCAAGUUUGUUACUAGUUUACCAUCCACUUGGGUUAGAAUAUUUUUAGGAACUUAUGUGUUCUUAUUAAUAGGCUACUCAUGAUUCCCAGGAACGACAACACCUCCUAAACCAUGGCAAUGUAAUAUUCCCGUUAGUUGGGAAUGCAUGAUGAUUACACUACUUCACCAAGAACUUCUAUAGAUUCCCAAGUUAGAUUGUACAGUAAUGAUUAAAAAUCUUGAACAUAAAAUAUGACUUCCAGAAUUUUACAAAACCCCGAACCAAACAGGCCCUAAAUUUAAGGGCUUACUCGGAUUUCAGAAUAAUUUAUCUGAUGAUAACUGGUGAUGCAUGUAGGUUUCAUUUUGUACAACCUAGGAGCUUGAUUUUAGUCUAUUGCAAUAACUCUAUAGUCAAGAUUUUUCAGGAUGCUACGUUCCACACAAGAGGCAACUCACGUAUAACAAGCCAUGCACUCAUGAUUUUUCUAAACUUAUGCUCGGUGUGAAGCUCCAAAAGGAAAAAAAUUCAGAUAAGGCCACACAUAUUUUUCUUGCGAAUGACAAGGAGAUUUUAUGUGCAUGAGCCCGACAAAUAACUUGUUUCUUGCAAAAACAAUAAAAUAAACUGAUGAUCUUGAAUAUGGAUAUAUUAAAAACCUGAUAACUUGAACUUGCGCUUUAAUAAUAAGGCAAUCAUCAACAACGAAGCCAUCAUGAACUUUUGAUAACUCCAUAAAUUUUUUCCACCCCCAAUCAUGCUCUUUCUUCCAGAACCGGUGCAACGUAUCUGCAGAACUACCUUACGUAAGCAUCCAACACAAUAAUCAAUCACAAGCUAACAGAAAAACAAAAAAGAUCCAUCCAUGACUGACUACAAUCCAGAUAUUCAACUAACCAGAGAACUUAGAUUUCUUGGGAUCUUUGUUAACUACAGCAAUUGUAAAUUGCGCAAAGUGACUCCAUCCUGAAAAUGUUCAGGAUAGAAGGGUAGAGGUUAGUAUAUAAGUCACAAGAACUCCCAAUAUAAAAAGAAAAAAACAGUAUUAAAUAUGCUGUAAACCUGGCAGAAGUUUAUCGUGAUUAGCAACACAGAGGAACAAUGAUAAGUGAUUGCAGACGUCACAUCCUUGUGGGUAGAUUAAAAUAUACCUGGAAAGUAAUUCAACAUGUUUAAAUUGCUAGCUGCAACGUAAGGUACCAGUGUAAACGUAUAAGCACAUAAAACAAUGAACGCUCAGCAAGUUGUUACGUGAUUUUGAAUUUCUAAUAAUGUCCAUUUAUGACACUUAGGAGUGAAUAUAAAUAUAUAAUUAUUUUAGAAUUCAUAUACUGCAUCUAUAGAAUGCAUCCAUAAUGACAUUAUGGCAAUUUGUCCAUCAGCAGUCACCAGGGUGACUUAACCCAAUAUGAUAUACCACCAGAACAAAGACAAUUAUAACAUUGUCCUGCGAUUUUCUUUUAGGGUUAAACAAUUUCAAACAAAAUUUUGGUUGUUUCUGCAACCAACCAAAAGAAAAGGCCGAAAUGACAAGAAUAUACUUCAAUUUACAGCAUCACAGUUUCAAAUAAAAAAGAUUGAUAAGAUAUCUUAAAAA
This 17330-nucleotide long non-coding RNA is filed under the name Ananas comosus (pineapple). RNAcentral describes it as "long non-coding RNA (ACOM_LNC014586)". Lineage: Eukaryota; Viridiplantae; Streptophyta; Magnoliopsida; Poales; Bromeliaceae. The record is from RNAcentral.